RNAcentral lists this long non-coding RNA (4307 nucleotides) under Homo sapiens (human). Its description in RNAcentral is "uncharacterized LOC389831, transcript variant 4 (LOC389831)". The record is from RNAcentral. Lineage: Eukaryota; Metazoa; Chordata; Mammalia; Primates; Hominidae.
AGUUGGAGAGGACAGGAGAGGAGGGCGUGGCUUCUGGCGUUUGGCGGGUCUUUGUCUCUCGCUGGCGCUGGCACAGGAACUUGGGAUCCGUCUCCUCUUUCGCCUCCUCCGCUUUGGGAGCCCCGGGCUACUCUUUCACAGCCCCUGUUGCCCUGUGAUCUGUAGGUCCUUGGGGACGCACAGUUAAGAUGACAGGACAUCCUGGAAGCUGGGAAAUGGCUGAAUGCUAUCCCAGUGAAUAUACGUGCCCUGUUUGUUGAAUCUACUCAUCCUUAAAGAUAUGUAUUCAUUUCCUACCACCGUAGUGGAAGAGAUACUAUCCCUAUCUUUACAACUGAUAGCAUUUCCAACAGUAAGCUGUGAGAUUCUGCUUGAAAUCACCUCUCAAACAAAUAAAAAACAGACCUGGGAGACAUGCUACGCUCAUUCUGCUGAAGAAAUAGGGCAAGAAUAUUUUCUAAGACCCUGAACUCCAGAUAUGUGAUGGGGCAAAUCCUGAAGCGUACAUGGCUAUCUCUCACAGCUAAAGCAUCCCUCACCCCUAUCCAGCGCUUCUUACCCCUGGCGCAAGAGAAUCACCUGCGGGGAGGAAAACUUUCAAAAUCCCUUAAACCCAAGUUGUAACCGCACAACUAAAUCAGAAUCCUUGGAGCUGGAUCUGAAAAAAAUACGGUUGAAAGUUGUGCAGGUGAUUACAAUGUGUAGGCAAGCCAGAAAACCAUGGCUUUAACGAGCAGCUUUUGUUAGAAAUGAUUUCUCAAAUGAAUGUAAAAACGUUUGCUGCUGAAUUGUGACCUUUCAAUUUUACCUGCUUUUCCUGCAAAGUAUAUUUUGCAGACCCAGGCUGGCUUCUCCUUCUGUUCAUGGUUCACCCAGUGCCGUGUGUGCUCAGUGCAUCCUGUGCACGGGUCACUGUGCUGUGUGCGCUGGCCUGGGUGAGCAUCAUUCUUCGGGGAGAACCUUUCUGAAAACAAAGCUGCAAUCCAAAAAGUUAAAACCAUGCUACUUACUGUACUGAGGUAAAAAUUAAAAGACCUAGGGGACUCUUCCAAAAGUUAAAACGUAAAUAAAUAUCUUGGAACAUUAAUAUACACCUGACGAUGUCCUGAGAGAACACGCCCCACUUUAAAACAAAACAAAACAUUACUAUUAUUCUAAAAUAUUAAUUUAGGAUUGUUAUGCAAAUAUGUACUAUUUAAAUAUUUAUUGAUGAAUAACUUGCAUACAGCAAUAUAGGAACAAAAUAUUUAUGGAAUGCUUGAUGAAUUAUUACUAAAUAAAUACACUUGUGUAUGUAAGAAUCAGAUUUGCUCAUGCCCUUGACACUUUCUCCUUCCCAAAGGUAACCAAGACCUUAAGAGCUAAGUGUAGAUAAACUUUGUCAUUUUCUACACGUGUUUUAUUACAGAACAUUAAAAACGUAUACAUAAUACAAAAAAAAGAUAACAGACCAGUCACCCAGAUUUAACAGCUGCUAGUCAUGUGUCAUUUUUGUUUCACCUAUACUUCCAGCCAUUCCCACCCCAGUUUCAUUAUUUUUUAGCCUUUUUGGAUAAAAUGUAUAUUCAUUGCAAGGUACAAUGUGAACUGUGAAUAGUAGAGAGAUGGGGUUUCACCAUGUUGACCAUGCUAGUCUUGAACUCCUGUCCUCAGGUGAUCCACCUGCUUCGCCUUCCCAAAUUGCUGGGAUUACAGGCAUAAGCCAAUAUACUCAGCCUGAGAAUUCAUACUUCUAAGAAAGUACAAAUCCAUAGGGCACAUGAGAACUGCAAUGUCUAUCUACAGUAAAUACAGUUUGAUAAAUAAAAUGAAAGGCAAUUGACCUAAGGUGAAAAAAAAAACAAAAAACAAUCAAAGCAUGGGUACUAUGUGUCAUCUGUAGGAGCAUUUGGUUAAGAAUAACAAACAAACCAGUUUUAUUGUUUUAAUAGCCGAAAUUGGCAAAAUUUCUAGUUUUUCUUUCAUAGGAAUGCUCUUUGCAAGAAAAAAUUUUCAUAUAGUGAGAGCAAAAAUGGCAACCAUUUGCAAGUAAAUGUCUUAUGAAAUUAAGUAGCAGAUAUCAAGCUCAUGACCUUCAGAUAGUUACCCCUAACUCAAUCACUUACAUAGCAAGUGCAGAUAAUUUUCAUAGCUCCCUAUUAAAAUUAUAUUUGAAUGCCCUUACAAAUUGUGACUGUUUUUAAAUAAAGUUGACCAAAUAAAAUUUUGUAUAUGACAUAUGAUAAAUUCCCCUUCAAGUCACCUUACAUUUACUUAAUUUUAUUAGGCAGUGUCUGUCUACCACCCAAUAAUACUUGACGAUUCUCCCUCCAUUUGCACAGGCAUCAUAGCUGGGAAACGGAUUCACAAGACCCAGGCUGUUCCCUACAUAUGUUUCCUCCUCCGACAUCAGUUCAUCAGUCAAUCAAGCCAUGUGAGAGUGGAGGCCUUGUAUUCCCUAUUAUUCUUGGGCACUCUACUCCAAGUAGGAAAAGGCCAGGAGGUCCUGUUAAAGGAUGCACUCAGAGCCCGGGCUCCCUAACAUAUGAGAGUGCUAACCAGCAGGUGUAGACUUUUCAGGAGUGAAGAAUGAGGCAGGCAUUCCAAACCUGGACCUUCAUCACCUUUUGUUUCAUCUCAAGACAAUUCUGAGGGACUGUUUUGGAGCGUGUCUGGAAGGUGAACCUUGAAGAAGAGUGUGGGUUUUGAUGUGACUCAGUUGAGAUCUUUCAUGGGGAGGCAGGAAUUCAAUGCCCAGAAUCUGGGCUGGUGUCUUUGAGGUCAGUAGGUUGCGUCUUUGUAUCCAAGUCCAUUGUUACUAGGUUGGAGGCUGGAGAUUCUAAAUGGCUUCCAGACCAUCUCUCUGAUUCUCUUUGGGAGAUGGGGUCUGAAAGACAAUGUCAGUAGUUUUGGGAAAUUCUAGAAAGUGUGCUUGGAAACGUGGGAAGAGCUCUUGCCUAGUGCCUAAAUGCUCCAUUUGCAGCUCUAGCCAAGUAGAUACUUGGUAGGUAUAGAGCCGGGUUUGCGUUUAUAUUAGCAAAACCUAUGUCAGAGUUGAAGAAGUAGUCAGGAAAAAGCGUCUUGGUCGCAGGCCGGGGAACAUCUUAAAAGCAAACUUCUAGCCUGCUGACUCUUGGCAAUGAGUGUUGGAUCCUGGCUAAAGUGCCUUGAAUGCAGCAUGAGGCCAAUCCAUGAAUCCAACUUCUCAUGGAGAAAUGUUAAUAUUUUUUCAGUUUGAAUCAAUCAGGGUGAAACUACCAUGCUAUUGGUUUGCUUACUUUUUAUUAUUUCAUGUAAAAUCUAAGACAAAAUACAUUAAAUGCUUAUUGACAUAUGUAUUUAUUCUUCACCAGGCUGAUAAUAUCUGCCUAAUUUUAAACUUUCUUCCAUUUUGUAGGUUUCAACUUAUUCUAUUGUAAGAUACUGUUAAAUCUAAUAGAGGCAUUGUCACUUUUACGUAUAAUUUUAUUUUAUUUCAUAUAUUUCCUAUUGGUUUUUUACAUUUAAAUUAUGGAGCACUUCAUCAUAUAAAAAACUUCAAUUAUAUUUAAACAGUAAGUCUUUGGAUUUUUUUGCCUUUUAAUUUCCAUAUUACAUAAUAAUGAGAUAAACAUUAAUGUUUUCAGGGUACUUUAAAUUUUAGAUAAUUACUCAUUGUAUUCAUGUGAAAUUUGUUUUUACUGCAUGUGUGGGUUGGAGGACGGUUUUCACUUCUGAUUCAUCUUUACUCUUAUCUCAUCAGAGCUCAUACCUCUUGUAGUUGGGGGAUUGCAGUUUAUAAUUCCAAUAAAUGGGGCAAAUUCAAUAAUAACAUAAUACAAAUGAGUUUGAAUGCAGGACAGGUCUUCAAAGCAUACACAACAUGGGCCUACAUAUGUACAACAAUAAUAAUUUAUAAGUUACUGUUUGGAUGGAAAGUAAAAGUACAGAAAAUUUGUUAAAGGAAAUUAAAAUGGAGAUCAUGUCUCAAUAAUCUCUGAGCAGACAAAAUUAGUUAGGUCUCAUAAGUGAUCUCAACCUCGCUUGAUUUGCAAAUACAAACAAAACUUACAUUAUUUCUUGUAGCUGCAUAUUGAAAAAAGAGAAAUGAAGCUCAACCAGUCAGAAGUAGCCAACAACCUUAUAUAAAUAGAAACUGUCCAACAAGGUAAACAGACAAACAAAAAACAAUAAAAAAAGUUGUGCUACCACCAAAUGAUUUCUUUGUUUCUACAUUUUUCAAAUAAAUACUUGCUUCUUACACUGUCAAUGAAGCACUCAAUAUCUUUCCGUCUGAUAUUUUAUAAUUUAUCAAUUGCUCUUACUCAAAUAAACACUUUGCAAUUUCA